This is a small nucleolar RNA of Nilaparvata lugens (brown planthopper), 69 nucleotides long. RefSeq annotates it as small nucleolar RNA SNORD49. Lineage: Eukaryota; Metazoa; Arthropoda; Insecta; Hemiptera; Delphacidae. The record is from RefSeq and is a predicted model, not a curated record. The transcript has a single exon.
AUAUGUGAUGAUUUUAAUUAUAGGAAUUGCCGUCUGAACGAUGAAUGACGAUAAUUUUUCUUCCUGAUG